RNAcentral lists this non-coding RNA (30 nucleotides) under Mus musculus (house mouse). Lineage: Eukaryota; Metazoa; Chordata; Mammalia; Rodentia; Muridae. The record is from RNAcentral.
UCUUGGUGUUAACUUAAAAAUGUCGAGUUC